Centropristis striata (black sea bass) is the source of this 1025-nucleotide long non-coding RNA. RefSeq lists it as uncharacterized. The transcript is spliced from 2 exons. Lineage: Eukaryota; Metazoa; Chordata; Actinopteri; Perciformes; Serranidae. The record is from RefSeq and is a predicted model, not a curated record.
GCAGAUUGCGAACCCUCCCGAGAAGUGAAGAAACAGACGUCGUCGUUCCCGACUCGAUCCACGACCAGCAGCUCCACGUCAGGCGAGCAGCAGGAAGAGAUGUAAGAAACCAUCGUGAUGUUCUCGUUGCCGGCGGCCGGGCUGGUGGUCAGCUUCCCGGUGCCCCGUUUGAGGCUGACGCGGUCCACACCGGUCCCCUGAGCUCCGUCGGUCACCCGGACACGGAGGUCCCACAUCGCUGCGCUGCAGUUCUCAGAACAGUUGGACUGCAGGUUGAUCAGCUGACACGCCGGCUGGAUGAAAUCUGUUAUCUACGAGGAGACAGAAAGUGAUGGUACUCACAGAAAUGGUCAUAUUAGAGGCUCUGAGGCUGAUGGAUGACUGCCUUUGAAAGACUAUUGAUGAACCACUGGAGGUACUGCCGUCAUCCCGCCCCUUCACCCGCACCCCAAACUCCACUGACGGCAUCCUGACAAAAUGAACCAAGAAGUGUCCAUUCCCCUGAGGCUCCACGGUUCCUGUAGUUACCUCCGAAUCAGACGAAUCAAUCAGAUCGACUUCUGUCACAGUCGCUGUGUCGCUACCCGAUAAAGACACCAGUAAGCUGCCGUUUACACCUUUAAAGACAGAGGAAAUUAAUCAUGUCUGCCUUGGUAAUGCUGGGUUAAUUCAUCACGUUGACUAGUUUUGAUUUCCAUUACCAACGUGGGGACGUGUCUCCAGAACAUCAUAUCCUGAGAACGGGCCCUGAGAUGGCACCACAAAGUCAAACAGGAAGUCAAUAGGACUCUGACCUGCAAACAAAAAGUCAGGAGAAAAGAAAAGGUUAAGUGUUGGACAAUUUGAGAUUUUAAUAUUAUCCGAAUUAGAAUCCACACAAUCAUGGCUAGACGUGGGAAGAACUCAAACUUGUUUUUGUGCAGAAUUACAGUUCAGUACAGUUCAAUGUUUUUAACAGGAUCUGGUUUUUCCAAAUGGUUUAUUUCUCACAAUGUUUUAAAUGUAGAAUAAAGUGAUUUUUUUUU